UAAAAAUAAGACACUGAGAGACCCGCUACGUGUCAUGAUUCUAUUGCUGGUGUUUGUUUUGUUUUGUUUUUUUUUUGCAUUUCUUUCUCUAUCUGUUUCGAAACAAACGAGAGAAGAGAGAGAUAGGGAGAAGAAUCGAUUUUUCAUCAGUUGAUUCACAACCCAUCGAUUUCCAGUUAAAAAUGAUCUCUUCAAGUCUGGGCAACAUUCGAUUGAUUUCGGUAGCACAUCUCGGAGAGAAGGAGCAGUAGUGGAAAGAGGAAGCAGGAGACACAAGGAAAACAAAGAUGAGCCUGAAGCAGAUCGUGAGAGAGAUCAAUGAACCAUAUUUUUUUUCCAGGUAUGUUCUUGAGCAUUGGGUUUUAUAUGAGGGAAGUGGGAAAUUAUGGACACUGCUAGAUGGCUCGUAUGUUUAUGAGUUCUUCUCCAAAGCGGGCAAGGUUAGUGACUUUUUUCCUUUCUACAUUGUGUUUGAUUUCCCUUUCUGCUUGUGCUUGUUAAGGCCGUAGAAAGGUAUUAACAUUGCUCCAUGACUGUCAUUGACCAUUGAUCAGAAUAUAUGAAGUUCUUGUCUCUAACAGUAGUAUAUGAAAUGGCUAGUUUGCUUCCAAUUAUUUAGUAAUGUUGGCUACUUUGUCUGUGAUAGAAACACUUUGGUGAACUCGAUCCUUGCAUAUUUAGUCAAAUACAAGAAACACGUAGUGUUUAAUAGGUUGUGCCAUUUUUUAUAACGAAUUUCUGUUAUAUUUGCUCUUUGAUUUUGUGAUAUCUCUUCUCUUGGGUUCUAUUUUGUCUAUGUCUUAUUGUUAUCUGUUCCUUAUUAUUUCAGGUGAGGGAUGUGCUAUCUCUUCUCUUAUUGUCUCUGUUCUUAUUGCUAUCUGUCUCUUUAUAUCUCUGUUUCAUUCAAUGAAAUUGAUAUCUCUUGAUGAGUUAUGGGUUUUGUUAUUCUUACUCUUCUUUUUCAGGUUUACAAUUAUGGUUAGGUUAAGCGGUCUCGUUAUCCUCUCCAUUCAUUCAUUCAUCACGAAAAAGUGUUACUACAGUUAAAACAUGAAGAUAUUCAAAAUCUGUAAAAGAUAAAGCCAUGAUUAACAUCUUUGAAUAAGAUUCCUCUCAGAUUGCUCAACAAUCUGCAGUUUCAGGGACCCUACUACUUGCCAUUAUUAACGUUUUUAAAGACUUGUCUUGAUUCUUGCCAAUAAUAGUGCCGCUAAACUUUCAGGUUCCUAGACCGCUUAUGACAGAGAAUUGUAUCACCAACGUUCAAGUUUUUGACUCAAAGGAAACACUACCAUAUGCUAUCUCCAGAAUCUCUGUUCAGAUGGGAUGCAAAAGCUGUAUUAGUACUUGGAGUCCUUGCUGCAACAUUUGGAGGACUAUUGCUACCAGUUCAUCUAGCCUUCUUAGAUAAUGUUUUUAUA
Molecule: non-coding RNA, 1421 nt
Organism: Camelina sativa (false flax)
Lineage: Eukaryota; Viridiplantae; Streptophyta; Magnoliopsida; Brassicales; Brassicaceae
Source: RefSeq, a predicted model, not a curated record